RNAcentral lists this ribosomal RNA (259 nucleotides) under uncultured bacterium. RNAcentral describes it as "partial 16S ribosomal RNA". It matches the Rfam family "Bacterial small subunit ribosomal RNA", at positions 524 to 777 of the family's 1533-position model. The record is from RNAcentral.
UACGUAGGGUGCAGGCGUUAAUCGGAAUUACUGGGCGUAAAGCGUGCGCAGGCGGUGUGCUAAGAGAGGUGUGAAAUCCCCGGGCUUAACCUGGGAACUGCGCUUCUAACUGGCAGGCUAGAGUGUGGCAGAGGGGGGUGGAAUUCCACGUGUAGGCAGUGAAAUGCGUAGAGAUGUGGAGGAACACCGAAUGGCGAAGGCAGCCCCCCUGGGGCUAACACUGACGCUCAUGCGACGAAAGCGUGGGGAGCAAACGAAG